GACAAACAUUAAGCCAUAAGCGAAAGCUUGACUUAGUUAGGGCUAACAAGGGCCGGUAAAACUCGUGCCAGCAACCGCGGUUACACGAGAGGCCCAAAUUGACACAUCACGGCGUAAAGUGUGAUUAGAGACACUUCUGAAAUAGAGCCAAAUACCCCCUAUGCUGUCAUACGCCAUGGGGGUUACGAAGACCAACAACGAAAGUGGUUCUAUUGAACUUGAACUCACGACAGCUAAGACACAAACUGGGAUUAGAUACCCCACUAUGCUCAGCCUUAAACCAAGGUGAUAAACAUACAAACUUCACCCGCCAGGGAACUACGAGCCCCAGCUUAAAACCCAAGGGACUUGGCGGUGCCUCAAACCCACCUAGAGGAGCCUGUCCUAUAACCGAUAAUCCCCGUUAAACCUCACCUCUCCUUGUCAAUACCGCCUAUAUACCGCCGUCGCCAGUUUACCUUUUGAGAGAAGAAGCAGUAAGCAAAACGGGUACCACCCAACACGUCAGGUCGAGGUGUAGCGAAUGGAGGGGGAAGAGAUGGGCUACAUUUUCUGGCACCAGAACACCACGAAACCUGCAAUGAAAUAUGCACAGCCGAAGGUGGAUUUAGCAGUAAAGAGGGAAAAGAGAGCCCUUUUGAAACCGGCCCUGAGGCGCGUACACACCGCCCGUCACUCUCCUCGAAAAACGAAAUGACAGUACAUAAAAACUUAAGGCCAAUAGAGAGGAGGCAA
Molecule: ribosomal RNA, 735 nt
Filed under: Gymnothorax reticularis
Lineage: Eukaryota; Metazoa; Chordata; Actinopteri; Anguilliformes; Muraenidae
Description: partial 12S ribosomal RNA
Rfam family: Bacterial small subunit ribosomal RNA
Source: RNAcentral